This 1480-nucleotide ribosomal RNA is filed under the name uncultured Bordetella sp. Its description in RNAcentral is "partial 16S-23S ribosomal RNA intergenic spacer". It matches the Rfam family "Bacterial small subunit ribosomal RNA". The record is from RNAcentral. Lineage: Bacteria; Pseudomonadati; Pseudomonadota; Betaproteobacteria; Burkholderiales; Alcaligenaceae.
CAGGUAGUAACAGAGGGUUCGAUCCUGGCUCAGAUUGAACGCUGGCGGGAUGCUUGCACAUGCAAGUCGAACGGCAGCACGGACUUCGGUCUAUGGCGAGUGGCGAAUGGGUGAUAUAUUUAAUGUGUCGGCAGGGGGAUAACUACAGCGAAAGCGUAGCUACUACCGCAUACGCCCUUCGGGGGAAAGCGGGGGACCUUUCGGCCGCACUAUUAGAGCGGCUGAUAUCGGAUUAGCUAGUUAGGUAAGUAAAUGUACCACCAAGGUUAUCAAUCCGCAGCUGGUUUGAGAGGACGACCAGCCACACUGGGACUGAGACACGGCCCAGACUCCUACGGGAGCAGCAGCGGGAAUUUUGAUGAAUGGGGGAAACCCCGAUCCAGCCAUCUCCAAGUGUGCGAUGAAGGCCUUCGGGUUGUAAAGCACUUUUGGGUGGAAAACGGCACGGGAUAAUACCCUGCAACUGACGGUACCUGCAGAAUAAGCACCGUAUAACUACGCCAGCAGCUGCGGUAAUGUAGGUGUAAGUGUUAAUCGGAAUUACUGGGCGUAAAGCGUGCGCAGGCGGUUCGGAAAAGAAAGAUGAACCAGAGCUUAACUUUGGAACUGUAUUUUUAACCACCGAGCUAGAGUGUGUCAGAGGGAGGUGGAAUUCCGCGUAGCAGUGAAAUGCGUAGAUAUGCGGAGGAACACCGAUGGCGAAGGCAGCCCUCCGGAGCAACACUGACGCCUGCGCACGAAAGCGUGGGGAGCAAACAGGAUUAGAUACCCCGGUAGUCCACGCCCCAAACGAUGUCAACUAGCUGUCAGCCUUCGGGCCUCGGUAGCGCAGCUAACGCGGUGAAGUUGACCGCCUGGGGAGUACGGUCGCAAGAUUAAAACUCAAAGGAAUUGACGGGGACCCGCCGUAAGCGGUGGAUGAUGUGGAUUAAUUCGAUGCAACGCGAAAACCUUUACCUACCCUUGACAUGUCUGGAAUCCUUCUGAAGAGAUUUAAGAGUGCUCGUAAGAGAACCGGAACACAGGUGCUGCAUGGCUGCUCGCCGCUCGUGUCGUAGAUGUUGGGUUAAGUCCUGCAACGAGCGCAAACUCCUUGUCAUUAGUUGCUACGAAAGGGCACUCUAAUGUGAGACUGCCGGUGACAAACCGGAGGAAGGUGAUGACGUCAAGUCCUCAUGGCCCUUAUGGGUAGGGCUUCACACGUCAUACAAUGGUCGGGACAGAGGGUCGCCAACCCGCGAGGGGAGCCAAUCCCAGAAACCCGAUCGUAGUCCGGAUCGCAGUCUGCAACUCGACUGCGUGAAGUCGGAAUCGCUAGUAAUCGCGGAUCAGCAUGUCGCGGUGAAUACGUUCCCGGGUCUUGUACACACCGCCCGUCACACCAUGGAGUGGGUUUUACCAGAAGCAGUUAGCCUAAAUCAAAAGGGCGGCGAUUACCACGGUAGGAUCUGGCGACUGGGGUGAAGUCGUAACAAGGUAG